AACGCACCUUGCGCUCCUUGGUAUUCCGAGGGGCAUGCCUGUUUGAGUGUCAUUAAAUUAUCAACCUUGUUCGCUUUUACGAGCUUGAGCGAGGCUUGGAUGUGAGGGCUUGCUGGCUUCCUUCAGUGGAUGGUCUGCUCCCUUUAAAUGCAUUAGUGGGAUCUCUUGUGGACCGUCACUUGGUGUGAUAAUUAUCUAUGCCAUUUGACUGUGAAGCAAAAUUAUGGGAACCUGCUUAUAACCGUCUCGCAAGGGACAAUUUAAUUGACUAUUUGACCUCAAAUCAGGUAGGACUACCCGCUGAACUUAA
RNAcentral lists this unclassified non-coding RNA (310 nucleotides) under uncultured fungus. RNAcentral's name for it is "sequence contains ITS2". The stretch from base 1 to 52 matches the Rfam family "5.8S ribosomal RNA", at positions 103 to 154 of the family's 154-position model. Lineage: Eukaryota; Fungi. The record is from RNAcentral.